GGGACGGAGCUCCGUGGGUAGAGGGCUUGCCUCACACGCACAAGGCCCUGGGUUCAAUCCCCAGCAUCACA
RNAcentral lists this transfer RNA (71 nucleotides) under Marmota monax (woodchuck). RNAcentral's name for it is "tRNA.Val". Lineage: Eukaryota; Metazoa; Chordata; Mammalia; Rodentia; Sciuridae. The record is from RNAcentral.